Molecule: long non-coding RNA, 365 nt
Filed under: Gossypium barbadense (sea-island cotton)
Lineage: Eukaryota; Viridiplantae; Streptophyta; Magnoliopsida; Malvales; Malvaceae
Description: long non-coding RNA (GBAR_LNC012311)
Source: RNAcentral
UUAGAUUGCCAUAAUCCCGAGAGCAAUGUAAUUGUAGCUUAUGUUGGGUGUAAAUGCCAUCAUAUUUGGUUUCUUGAUUAUAUUUUACAUGUAGCUCAAAUGGCUGGUACUUUUCUGGAGUUUGCUGGGAUGUACUGGUCCCAUUUCUUCUCUUGAAGAAGAGAGGCCAUGUUUCUGUUGAACAAAGUGCUUCAAAAAUUAUCCCCUUAAUCGCAUGAUCUAAAAUUUGAACUUGCACAAAAUGAGCUGGAAGUUAUAUAAGGGUUGUAUGAGCUUGUAAAUCACUUAAGGUAAGAAAUAUUUGGUUAGGCUAUGUGUUCAGAUUAGUUUUGGAGGCUGUCCCAGCAAAAAAAGAGAAGGCUUUG